UGGGGGACGGUUAAAAAAGGUUUACGUGCAAGUCCACAUUUUUUAGUUCUAGUUUUCGUAUAUAUAUAUAUAUAUCUAUAUAUAUAUCUAUAUAUAUAU
This 99-nucleotide non-coding RNA is filed under the name uncultured eukaryote. The record is from RNAcentral.